This 650-nucleotide ribosomal RNA is filed under the name Clostridioides difficile. RNAcentral describes it as "bacterial SSU rRNA". It matches the Rfam family "Bacterial small subunit ribosomal RNA", at positions 1 to 677 of the family's 1533-position model. The record is from RNAcentral. Lineage: Bacteria; Bacillati; Bacillota; Clostridia; Peptostreptococcales; Peptostreptococcaceae.
UUUUAUUUGAGAGUUUGAUCCUGGCUCAGGAUGAACGCUGGCGGCGUGCCUAACACAUGCAAGUUGAGCGAUUUACUUCGGUAAAAAGCGGCGGACGGGUGCGUAACGCGUGGGUAACCUACCCUGUACACACGGAUAACAUACCGAAAGGUAUGCUAAUACGGGAUAAUAUAUUUGAGAGGCAUCUCUUGAAUAUCAAAGGUGAGCCAGUACAGGAUGGACCCGCGUCUGAUUAGCUAGUUGGUAAGGUAACGGCUUACCAAGGCGACGAUCAGUAGCCGACCUGAGAGGGUGAUCGGCCACAUUGGAACUGAGACACGGUCCAAACUCCUACGGGAGGCAGCAGUGGGGAAUAUUGCACAAUGGGCGAAAGCCUGAUGCAGCAACGCCGCGGGAGUGAUGAAGGCCUUCGGGUCGUAAAACUCUGUCCUCAAGGAAGAUAAUGACGGUACUUGAGGAGGAAGCCCCGGCUAACUACGUGCCAGCAGCCGCGGUAAUACGUAGGGGGCUAGCGUUAUCCGGAUUUACUGGGCGUAAAGGGUGCGUAGGCGGUCUUUCAAGUCAGGAGUGAAAGGCUACGGCUCAACCGUAGUAAGCUCUUGAAACUGGGAGACUUGAGUGCAGGAGAGGAGAGUGGAAUUCCUAGUGUA